UACGUAGGGUGCGAGCGUUAAUCGGAAUUACUGGGCGUAAAGGGUGCGUAGGCGGAUAUAUAAGUUAGAUGUGAAAUUCCCGAGCUUAACUUGGGAACUGCAUUUAAGACUGUAUGUCUAGAGUUUGUCAGAGGGGGGUAGAAUUCCAAGUGUAGCAGUGAAAUGCGUAGAGAUUUGGAGGAAUACCGAUGGCGUAGGCAGCCCCCUGGGAUAGAACUGACGCUGAGGCACGAAAGCGUGGGUAGCAAAC
This 250-nucleotide ribosomal RNA is filed under the name uncultured bacterium. Its description in RNAcentral is "partial 16S ribosomal RNA". It matches the Rfam family "Bacterial small subunit ribosomal RNA", at positions 524 to 773 of the family's 1533-position model. The record is from RNAcentral.